UACGUAGGGGGCAAGCGUUGUCCGGAAUUACUGGGCGCAAAGCGCACGCAGGCUGAAUUAUAAGUCGGUAGUCAAAGGCGGAGGCUCAACCUCUGUAUAUCUAUCGAUACUGUAAAUCUGGAGUAUGUGAGAGGGAAGCGGAAUCCCCGGUGUAGCGGUGAAAUGCGUAGAUAUCGGGAGGAACACCAGUGGCGAAGGCGGCUUCCUGGCACAAUACUGACGCUCAUGUGCGAAAGCUAGGGCAGCGAACGGGAUUAGA
This 259-nucleotide ribosomal RNA is filed under the name uncultured prokaryote. RNAcentral's name for it is "partial 16S ribosomal RNA". It matches the Rfam family "Bacterial small subunit ribosomal RNA", at positions 524 to 782 of the family's 1533-position model. The record is from RNAcentral.